CUGGAGGUUGUGCCCUUGAGGCGUGGCUUCCGGAGCUAACGCGUUAAGUCGACCGCCUGGGGAGUACGGCCGCAAGGUUAAAACUCAAAUGAAUUGACGGGGGCCCGCACAAGCGGUGGAGCAUGUGGUUUAAUUCGAUGCAACGCGAAGAACCUUACCUACUCUUGACAUCCAGAGAACUUUCCAGAGAUGGUUUGGUGCCUUCGGGAACUCUGAGACAGGUGCUGCAUGGCUGUCGUCAGCUCGUGUUGUGAAAUGUUGGGUUAAGUCCCGCAACGAGCGCAACCCUUAUCCUUUGUUGCCAGCGGUUCGGCCGGGAACUCAAAGGAGACUGCCAGUGAUAAACUGGAGGAAGGUGGGGAUGACGUCAAGUCAUCAUGGCCCUUACGAGUAGGGCUACACACGUGCUACAAUGGCGCAUACAAAGAGAAGCGACCUCGCGAGAGCAAGCGGACCUCAUAAAGUGCGUCGUAGUCCGGAUUGGAGUCUGCAACUCGACUCCAUGAAGUCGGAAUCGCUAGUAAUCGUAGAUCAGAAUGCUACGGUGAAUACGUUCCCGGGCCUUGUACACACCGCCCGUCACACCAUGGGAGUGGGUUGCAAAAGAAGUAGGUAGCUUAACCUUCGGGAGGGCGCUUACCACUUUGUGAUUCAUGACUGGGGUGAAGUCGUACGG
Molecule: ribosomal RNA, 676 nt
Filed under: Leclercia sp. DDC87
Lineage: Bacteria; Pseudomonadati; Pseudomonadota; Gammaproteobacteria; Enterobacterales; Enterobacteriaceae
Description: bacterial SSU rRNA
Rfam family: Bacterial small subunit ribosomal RNA
Source: RNAcentral